CGCGGGGGAGACCAGGAGGAGCGGGGGCGGGGGAGCGACUGUCACCCCGACUGAGCUAAGGCCAGACGGCUGAGUAGGAACCCACUGCCGGGCCACGGUGCCCUAGCGUGGUACAUAAAAGUCGAAGUGCCUUUAAAAAGGAAAAAGAUACACACGUCAUGGCAAAUGUUUUUAUAUCUUUCACCCCAAUAAAAAUUUUAAAAGAUAAAAAUAUAUUAGCCUACAACUGAAUAGUGCAUGAAGUUAAACUGGCUAAACCUAAAAGAACAAAAACGGCCUUUCAGACUCCAACUACUUGGCCGGCUCCCCAGCUGCCACGUGCUGGGGAAGUGGAGGUUGCGUUGAUGAGUGUUAGCGUGGUUACGCCCCACCUGUCUGGUCGUAAUCAGGCCUGACAGGAGCCAGCUGGUUUUAGGAAGGGUGGAGGUGACCCGGCGUGAGGAACAAGGUGACCCGGACAUGAUCGCGCCCCGCCGCGGGCUGCCUUUGUCCUGGGUGGUCCCUGGAGCCGGCCUCCUCUGAGCCUGCACCUCUGAGAGGUGUCCCAGGUGCUCGCCAAGGCGGGUCCCACCGUGUCGGCUCAGAAACGCCCCCCCUCCCCCCGUCAUCUCUGUGCGGUGCCUGCCAAGAAGCCAGACUUCUUUUCUCUAGAUCCCAAGAGAGGCCCCAUUUUUCUUGCCCUCUGAGAUUUUUGGGGUUAUGGCAGAGCUCAGCAGCGUGGCUCAUCUCUCAAUUAAACGCAGAAGAACAAAUGGGGGAAGAUAGAUGCCACCGUGGAGAUCAGCAAGGAACCAAGGAGCAUCGGGGUUAUGGAAGCUGAAGAAGAUAAGCUGACAGAGAACCUUCUCCUAGAACCAGUGCCCUAAGUUCAGACUCCUAGCCUCCCGAACUGUGAGAAGAUAAAUUUCUGUUCUUUAAAGUAACCCACUUGUGGCUUUUCUGUUCCAGCAGUACUAGGAAGCUGAGAUACAAGCGUUCAGGUAAAACCUACAAAUUCUAGUAUAGCGAGAUUUUUCCUUUAUCCCAACAUGGGGAAGAGGGGGUAAUAGUAUCAACCACUAUCUCCAUAUGUUUCUCUAAUUUUUUCACUGUGCUCACUAAAACCAACCCAGUUUAAAAUUCUUGACAAGGAUAUGAUGAGUCAGCAAACUUUUCUUUUUAAUGUGUGGUGCUCAGUUUACUCAGUUAGUUGCUUUUGCAUAGCCAGUGCCUCAUUUUUUUUCUUUCUUUUUAUCGUGCUUUAGGUGAAAGUUUACACUCAAGCCAAUUUCUCGUACAAAAACUUAUACACAUACUGUUUUGUGUCAUUAGUUGCAAUCCCCACAAUGUGACAGCACGCUCCCCGUUUCCCUGUGUCCAUUCAACCAAUUCCUGUCCCUCCCUGCCUUUCAGUUAGUAGCCAAGUGCUUAACCACUACACCACGAGGGAUCCUUGAACUGGCCCUACAGGGUUUCCUGAACUGUAAUCUUUACAGGAGCAGAUUGCCAGGUCUUUUCUCCCACGGAGCCACUGGUGGGUUCAAACCACUGACCUUUUGGUUAGCAGCCAAGCGCUUAACCAUUGUGCCACCAGGGCUCCUUAGCAGUGCAUUGUACACCUGCUAUAUUUCACCAUGAUACAAAGCGACACUUUUUCUGCUCUGAAGUGCUAGACUCAAGCAGCUGACUUUUCUCCUUUUCAAAUACAAGAUGUGCUUCUCAACCAAAACGUGCUGUAUAAUUAUGUUUAAAUACUUACCUGGUACCCUUAAAACGUAGCGAUCUCUUUAGGAGCUUUGUUGAUAAAGGCCUGGAAAACUAGUGGAGCAUCACCAUUGGUCUCACUCAUUGUGUUUAGCUACCGUCCAGUUGGCCCUUGACUCCUGGCUACCCUCUGUGCAAUGAACAAUAUGCUGCCUGAUCCGGUACCACCCUUAUGAUCGGUUUUGGAUUGGACCAUUAUGAUCCACAGGGUUUUCAUCGGUUGAUUCUCUGAAGUAGAUCACCAGGUCUUCCUAGUCUGGAAGCCCCCACUGACAGAUGGAUGGUGGCUUCACACGCUGUACGCUGGCUGGAAAUUGGACCAGAGUCUCCCACAUGGAAGGCAAGGAUUCUACCACUGAAGCACCACUGUCCCCUCUCACUCAUUGUUCUUGCUGAGUGUCAUCAACUCAUAAGGACCCAAUAUGACAGAGUAGAACUGCCCCAUGGGUUUCCUAGGCUAUAAUCUUUAUGGGACCAGAUCACCAGAUUCUUUUUCCUGUGAAGCUGGAGCCGCUGGUGGGUUAGAGCCAUUGAUCUUUUUCUUUAGCAGCUGAGCUCUUAACCAUCUCUCUACCAGGGCUCCUUUCUCACUCAUUAGUGCUCCCUUUUUCUGAUGAGCAAAAGAAGUGCCAAUGAAUAGAGCAAGGAGAAGCCACAAAGGUGAACAAAGUUACGUGUCAAUUUUAAGUAAAUUAUUUGGUUUUAGGUAGUUAUAAGAAAAGGCUCCAUCUUUUUUCCUUCUAUUAUUGAAUCAUUUUCUAAGCCACUUAGCCCCAACCCAAAAAAUUACUGGCUAGAGAUGGCUGCUAUUGUUACAGUCUUCCCAGUAGACACUGCUUGGAGAUAUGAAUGAAAGCUUAAUAACAACUUUAUUAUGUGUUCUCUGCUGCCUUGGCUUAGCAUUUAAAAGUUUGGGUGUGGAUGAACCUGCAACAGCAGCCUGCACUGAGGUAAAAAGCAACCCUAAACUAAUCUCUUACCCCCACUCACCUUCUCAAAAGGUUAAUAAAGGAUAU
Long non-coding RNA from Loxodonta africana (African savanna elephant), 2759 nucleotides. RefSeq lists it as uncharacterized. The transcript has 3 exons. NCBI's taxonomy places the organism in Eukaryota, Metazoa, Chordata, Mammalia, Proboscidea, Elephantidae. The record is from RefSeq and is a predicted model, not a curated record.